RNAcentral lists this ribosomal RNA (253 nucleotides) under uncultured bacterium. RNAcentral describes it as "partial 16S ribosomal RNA". It matches the Rfam family "Bacterial small subunit ribosomal RNA", at positions 524 to 776 of the family's 1533-position model. The record is from RNAcentral.
GACAGAGGUGCCGAGCGUUAGGCGGAAUCACUGGGCUUAAAGCGUGUGUAGGCGGGCCGUUAAGUGUCUUGUGAAAUCCCCCGGCUCAACCGGGGAAUUGCUGGGCAUACUGGCGGUCUUGAGCAAUCUAGGGGCAGAUGGAACAAGUGGUGGAGCGGUGAAAUGCGUAGAUAUCAGGAGGAACACCGGCGGCGAAGGCGGCCCUCUGGACCGUUGCUGACGCUGAGACGCGAAAGCGUGGGGAGCAAACAGG